GCACAUGGCAUUAUCUCAUUCUUUUUUAUGGCUGAGCCCUAUCCCACUGUAUGUAUGUACCACAUCUUCUUUAUCCAUCAUGGGAAUAUGUUGACGUGAGGGUUGUUAAAACUAUAGUGAAACUGUAGCGGAGAAGGCUGUGUGAAAGCCAGACCACGGAGAAUGGGAAGUUCAUUUCCCUCCCAACUGCCCACCAGCCAACCGCAGAGCGCCGGCAGCACAUACCUCCUGACGUUGGAACCUCACGGGGGUCGUAGGUCUACCUCUCCUGCCUUCCCGCUUCCCAGGCCCUGAGACCACCUGCAUUCUCCAGACAGGUCAGCUGUUUGUUUGUUUGUGUAAAGGCUUUGAUUCUGCCACGUGUGCAAAGGAAGCCCAGUUCUCUGGGACUCAAAGCACAGUUUGCCCCCUUGAGGGAGUGGGCGGCGUGGAGGAGAGGACGAAUUCUUUUUCUCUCUUUUUAAACAGCAGUAAUAACAACAACAACAAAAUAAUAACUCUGUAAAUUGUCCUGCUAGGCAGAGAGGAUCCUCCCCCUUUCAAAAAGACUCUGAUACGCAUGUUUUUGUGUUUUUUUAUCCUGGAGAGUCAGCAGGCAAAGGUACAAUGAACCCCACGUAGGAUCUCCUUCCUCGGCAGCCAUCGGCUCAGGGCUGAUCCUGUCUCCAUCUACUGGUAUCACCUCCCCCUCAUUAUUCUGCAACAAAUGCGAGACAUCAUUUCAUUUCAUCCAUAAUUUUUCAGCAUGUAUAUUUAAAAGAUAAGGAUUCUUAAAAAAAAAAAACACAACCACAAUACUAUUAUCACCCCUCAAGAAUUAUAAUCGCUUAAUAUUAUCAAUUAUCCAGUGUUCAAAUGAUCAGUUUUCCCACAAACGUGAUGAGUGGCUUUUAGAAAAACAGUUUAUUUGAAUUAGAAGUCAAAUGAGAUUGAUUGCAUUGUGAUUGGCUGGUAUGUUUUUAAAGUUUCCUUUGACAUUUAGUUUUCACCUCCAGACUUCUUUUUUCUUGACACUUAAUUAUUGAAGGAACCAAGCUGUCCUGGAUUUUGCUGGUUGCACCCUCUGGUAUACACGUAGUUGAACGUGUUCCUCUGACUUCUGCAACUGGUAAAUUGGCUGUUGGAUCUAGGCUUGAUCAAAUUCAGCUUUGAUGGGGGGGGCGGGGCAAGAUGACUUUUUAGGUGUUAUGUCCUUCCAUCAGGAAGUAUGUGGUAUCUGGUUGUCUGUCUAUGAUGUCAGUGCUGUUAUUGAUGAAUGCUGGGUUUAUUAAUACAUCAGGGGCUGUGAAAUGGUGAUAAUCUAAUUCUGUCAUUCUUUCUUCACUUAUCAGUUGAAACUGUUCUUUAAAGAAAGAUAUUCCUCAUCUACUCUUCAGUUACCCUGUGGUACAGUCCUGUAAGAAAGAUACAGAGACAUCUGUCACUUAGAACAUCGCAUGAAAAGCUUCCAGGCUAGUUCCUGGGAUGGGAAGGCCCCUAGAAGCUGAUACAUGAACUGUGUGGAAUAACGCAAUCUCGGUGGAUUACAGGUGCUGUCUGCUCUGUUGUCUCCAUUCUGCUGAGGGUCGGCAGAAAGUGGGGUGAUGCCAUCUUGCCCCCAUCCCUGUCACACUGUCAUCUCCCCCAGCGCACCAACCCCCUGCACCACCCAGGCUCACCAAAGACGAUGAGGCCUUUCUAUUCUGGAAAAUGAGAAUUCUCAGAAGACCAACAGAAGCGCAUGUAGAAAAUAACUGAAAUUACUGGUUAUCAGGAGAGAUGAUGACCUGAAAGAGAAAGAAGAUGUGGGAGGCGAGUGGAUAGGAAGAGGGCUAAGAUUCUCUACUGACGUGAUGAGUAGUUUCUUGCUUAUUUCCUGUGGCUUUUGCUCCAAAUGAGAGGUUUCAGCUCCCACACGGUGAAGUGUGCAUUAUAAACCUGGUAUUCAUCACGGGGGACUUUCAGGGGGGAGGUCCAGAGGUGCCACUGGCAUGAUGAAGCGAGGUUAGGAAUAGUGGGACCCAAACCAGAAAGAAACAGUAAGAAGCAGAAAAAAAACAGAAAGGCAGA
Non-coding RNA from Delphinapterus leucas (beluga whale), 2049 nucleotides. The record is from RefSeq and is a predicted model, not a curated record. NCBI's taxonomy places the organism in Eukaryota, Metazoa, Chordata, Mammalia, Artiodactyla, Monodontidae.